This 236-nucleotide long non-coding RNA is filed under the name Sorghum bicolor (sorghum). RNAcentral's name for it is "long non-coding RNA (SBIC_LNC007672)". The record is from RNAcentral. Lineage: Eukaryota; Viridiplantae; Streptophyta; Magnoliopsida; Poales; Poaceae.
GGUACAGAGAUUGUUCUUUGUCUUCCCCAUGCCCAGCAACCGAUCGAAAGAACAUGGCCCUCUCGAUGGUGACAUGCGCUCCGCUCCUAGGCGGUUCGGAUGGCUGGUGCAGCCAUGCCGCGCUCGAGUUCGCCUGCCACAGUGAGUCUCUCAUGGAGAGUUGAGCUCUGCUUCAUCUCCAAAGAGGUCGUAUGCUCUGCUCCCUUUCCUUCCCUUUUAUUUUCCUCGCUUCUUUG